Arachis ipaensis is the source of this 612-nucleotide non-coding RNA. The record is from RefSeq and is a predicted model, not a curated record. NCBI's taxonomy places the organism in Eukaryota, Viridiplantae, Streptophyta, Magnoliopsida, Fabales, Fabaceae.
AUAAAAAUAUGGGAUUGGAACAAUUUUUCUACCUGCCCCUGCCUAAUCUGAAAUGAAUGUUAAAAAGUGAAUUUUAUUUGGACUGCGGGUUUGGAGUUCUAGUGCUAAGAGUUUCGUUCUAUUUCAGAGAUAAAACGGUGGCAGGUGCAGCCAAUGAGUGGGUCGACGAAAUUAAGUGUCAAAGCAUCUAUUGAGAGGUACAAAAAAGCCAGUUCAGAUUCUUCUAAUGGUGGAUCCACUUCUGAGAUUAAUGCUCAGGCAAAUCUUGGGUGAGGCUUUGAGCAAUAUGGCUGUCAAGGAUCUCAAAAACCUUUUGGGGCUUUAUGAGCUUAUUUCUGCUAAAGAAGCUGUGAUCAAUGGUGGUGCUGAUUAGAUUGUCCUAAUAAACAAUUGGCUUACUUCAAGUAGGGUUGGAUCUUUGAAUGAUGACCAUAUUUCAUUUCUUAACCGAAUUUAUGCUUUGUUUAUCUGAAAAUUAGAGCUGCUGUGAACUAUGAUAGCUGCUGCUUCUGUGGAGGGUUAAAUUCAGGAUGCUUGUGACAAUUCUUGUAGCAUCUGUCUUGAAGCCUUCUGUCUUGUAGCAUCUCAGUUGAAAGAAGCUUUGCAUGAGCA